RNAcentral lists this ribosomal RNA (253 nucleotides) under uncultured bacterium. Its description in RNAcentral is "partial 16S ribosomal RNA". It matches the Rfam family "Bacterial small subunit ribosomal RNA", at positions 524 to 776 of the family's 1533-position model. The record is from RNAcentral.
UACAGAGGGGGCAAGCGUUAUUCGGAAUUAUUGGGCGUAAAGGGCGCGUAGGCGGCCUUGUAAGUCUUGGGUGAAAUCCCUCAGCUCAACUGAGGAACUGCCUCGGAUACUGCAGGGCUUGAGGCCGGGAGAGGGUAGUGGAAUUCCCAGUGUAGCGGUGAAAUGCGUAGAUAUUGGGAGGAACACCGGUGGCGAAGGCGGCUACCUGGACCGGUUCUGACGCUGAUGCGCGAAAGCGUGGGGAGCAAACAGG